UUGACGAAACAGGGGUGCUUUGGCGCGGACACACGUCGCGGCGAGGCUGAGAGAGACCCUUCGCACCCGAUCCGGGUAAUACCGGCGCGGGAAGUUUCGAAGUCUUUCGU
Molecule: non-coding RNA, 110 nt
Filed under: Paraburkholderia sp.
Lineage: Bacteria; Pseudomonadati; Pseudomonadota; Betaproteobacteria; Burkholderiales; Burkholderiaceae
Description: TPP sequence
Rfam family: TPP riboswitch aptamer (THI element)
About the family: Vitamin B(1) in its active form thiamin pyrophosphate (TPP) is an essential coenzyme that is synthesised by coupling of pyrimidine and thiazole moieties in bacteria. The previously detected thiamin-regulatory element, thi box was extended, resulting in a new, highly conserved RNA secondary structure, the THI element, which is widely distributed in eubacteria and also occurs in some archaea. Analysis of operon structures identified a large number of new candidate thiamin-regulated genes, mostly transporters, in various prokaryotic organisms.
Source: RNAcentral